GCGCCGGUCAUGAGCUCGGGCCGUGCUUUAACCUCCAGAAGCUCAGGUUUGUUGAUUAACUGCAAGUUGUCUGAGGAGAGAAUCAGUAAAAUGUGGAGUGAGUUUAUUCCAAGUGAUGGUUAGGAAGCUCUGGUGUGAACUUCAGUCAUUUCCUGCACAUUAAAGCGACGCUUCAGCCUCGUUCUGGACUUCAGGAGGCAGGAGGUUUAAUCAGGAGCCUUGGUGAGAUCUGAGAUGUGGUUUUAAGGUGUGCUGGUGAGCUUGUGGUCACUGUCCUGUUACGUUGUCCAGUUUCAGUCCAGUCUAAGCUGCUGGACUCACAUUUGUCUCAAGAAUAUUCUGGUAUAAAGUGGAGGUCAUAAUUUCUCAGGUCCCAACCAUCAUCCCUCCAUCAUCCAGCAUCACGGGGGAUGUGAGGGUUUGUGGCUGUGUUUGAGUUUCACCAAACAUGGAGCUGUGCAUCAGCGGCGUCCUUCUUAUUUUAAGGGGCACAGUGUGAAUACUACAGAAGACGUGAUGCUGAGAGACUAAAGGAUUUUCUAUCAUCAUCUUUGUAACCCAAGUGUAACCUGCACAUGACCUUUGUGUUGAGAUCUUUUCAGAUAUGGAGGAUUUCUCUGUAAGCCUUCUCACUGUAAAAGAAUGUUCUUUCACAAGCUUGUGACGAAGGAGAGAUUCUGAUUAAUGUAAACUCUCCCACUUCUGGAUGAUGAACUGACCUUAACACAGACUGCUGAUUAUUCUUUUAGAGAGUGUAGAAGUAUGAAGAGUUUCUGAUGAAGCUGAAUUUCUUAUACAUUUAUGUUCAGGAGAAAGCUUUAACUGUUCAACAUGUAGGGGGUCACGGUGGCUUAGUGGUUAGCACGUUUGCCUCACACCUCCAGGGUCGGGGGUUCGAUUCCCACCUCCACCUUGUGUGUGUGGAGUUUGCAUGUUCUCCCCGUGCCUCGGGGGU
This is a long non-coding RNA of Tachysurus fulvidraco (yellow catfish), 955 nucleotides long. RefSeq lists it as uncharacterized. The transcript is spliced from 3 exons. NCBI's taxonomy places the organism in Eukaryota, Metazoa, Chordata, Actinopteri, Siluriformes, Bagridae. The record is from RefSeq and is a predicted model, not a curated record.